UACGGGGGGGGCAAGCGUUGUUCGGAAUUACUGGGCGUAAAGGGCUCGUAGGUGGCCAACUAAGUCAGACGUGAAAUCCCUCGGCUUAACCGGGGAACUGCGUCUGAUACUGGAUGGCUUGAGUUCGGGAGAGGGAUGCGGAAUUCCAGGUGUAGCGGUGAAAUGCGUAGAUAUCUGGAGGAACACCGGUGGCGAAGGCGGCAUCCUGGACCGAGACUGACGCUGAGGCGCGAAGGCGUGGGGAGCAAACAGG
Molecule: ribosomal RNA, 253 nt
Filed under: uncultured bacterium
Lineage: Bacteria
Description: partial 16S ribosomal RNA
Rfam family: Bacterial small subunit ribosomal RNA
Source: RNAcentral